UCCGAUGUCGCCCAACAGGCAGGGCCCGCGGCUGUUAACCGCGUGAUCCCGGUUCGAAUCCGGGCGUCGGAG
This 72-nucleotide transfer RNA is filed under the name Phytohabitans maris. RNAcentral describes it as "tRNA-Asn". It matches the Rfam family "tRNA". Rfam says of the family: Transfer RNA (tRNA) molecules are approximately 80 nucleotides in length. Their secondary structure includes four short double-helical elements and three loops (D, anti-codon, and T loops). Lineage: Bacteria; Bacillati; Actinomycetota; Actinomycetes; Micromonosporales; Micromonosporaceae. The record is from RNAcentral.